Molecule: ribosomal RNA, 497 nt
Filed under: uncultured bacterium
Lineage: Bacteria
Description: partial 16S ribosomal RNA
Rfam family: Bacterial small subunit ribosomal RNA
Source: RNAcentral
GACGAACGCUGGCGGCGUGCCUAAUACAUGCAAGUAGAACGCUGAAGAGAGGAGCUUGCUCUUCUUGGAUGAGUUGCGAACGGGUGAGUAACGCGUAGGUAACCUGCCUUGUAGCGGGGGAUAACUAUUGGAAACGAUAGCUAAUACCGCAUAACAAUGGAUGACCCAUGUCAUUUAUUUGAAAGGGGCAAAUGCUCCACUACAAGAUGGACCUGCGUUGUAUUAGCUAGUAGGUGAGGUAACGGCUCACCUAGGCGACGAUACAUAGCCGACCUGAGAGGGUGAUCGGCCACACUGGGACUGAGACACGGCCCAGACUCCUACGGGAGGCAGCAGUAGGGAAUCUUCGGCAAUGGGGGCAACCCUGACCGAGCAACGCCGCGUGAGUGAAGAAGGUUUUCGGAUCGUAAAGCUCUGUUGUAAGUCAAGAACAAGUGUGAGAGUGGAAAGUUCACACUGUGACGGUAGCUUACCAGAAAGGGACGGCUAACUACGUG